CAUUGUUAAGGGAGGAUUGCCAGGUUGUAAGUGAGGACUUCAUGUGACCAAGACUUUUGAGUUCCUGCUGGCUUCUCCAAUGACUCUACUAUUAGAAUCUGGGAGGAAACAUUGGCACUGUGGUAGCCAGAACUCAGGAACUUAAGAUUGGUCAAACUUCCAUUUACAGUGUAUUCAGAACUUCAAGCAGACAGAAGUUGGAGAAAAUGAAGAAUGCUUCAUUCGAGCAAACACAGUUCCCUUCAAUGCAAGAACCAUGGCCUCCACAUGACGGAUCAAUACACUGGCUGAUGGGUAUGUCACACUC
Molecule: long non-coding RNA, 307 nt
Organism: Pantherophis guttatus
Lineage: Eukaryota; Metazoa; Chordata; Lepidosauria; Squamata; Colubridae
Source: RefSeq, a predicted model, not a curated record